AGCUUUGCGCAGUGGCAGUAUCAUAGACAAUGAGGUUUAUCCGAGGUGCGAUUAUUGCUAAUUCAAAACUUUUCCUGAUACCCCGCUGUGACGAUUUGCAAUACAGUCGGCACAGGCAAUUUUUGACAGUCUCUACGGAGA
Molecule: small nuclear RNA, 141 nt
Organism: Aotus nancymaae (Ma's night monkey)
Lineage: Eukaryota; Metazoa; Chordata; Mammalia; Primates; Aotidae
Gene: U4
Rfam family: U4 spliceosomal RNA
About the family: U4 small nuclear RNA (U4 snRNA) is a component of the major U2-dependent spliceosome. The structure of U4 snRNA from yeast and human has been reported. U4 snRNA presents a k-turn RNA motif in the 5p-SL related to recognition of Snu13 protein.
Source: Ensembl